CCCAGACUCCUACGGGAGGCAGCAGUGGGGAAUAUUGCACAAUGGGGGAAACCCUGAUGCAGCAACGCCGCGUGAGUGAAGAAGUCAUUCGUGAUGUAAAGCUCUAUCAGCAGGGAAGAAAAUGACGGUACCUGGCCAAGAAGCCCCGGCUAACUACGUGCCAGCAGCCGCGGUAAUACGUAGGGGGCAAGCGUUAUCCGGAUUUACUGGGUGUAAAGGGAGCGUAGACGGCAAGGCAAGUCUGGAGUGAAAGCCCGUGGCCCAACCACGGGACUGCUUUGGAAACUGUGUUGCUGGAGUGCAGGAGGGGUAAGCGGAAUUCCUAGUGUAGCGGUGAAAUGCGUAGAUAUUAGGAGGAACACCGGUGGCGAAGGCGGCCUGCUGGACUGCGACUGACGUUGAGGCUCGAAAGCAUGGGGAGCGAACAGGAUUAGAUACCCCUGUA
Molecule: ribosomal RNA, 445 nt
Filed under: uncultured bacterium
Lineage: Bacteria
Description: bacterial SSU rRNA
Rfam family: Bacterial small subunit ribosomal RNA
Source: RNAcentral